CCCUUAGAUGUUCUGGGCCGCACGCGCGCUACACUGACUACUUCAACGAGUUGUUUCCUUGAUCGAAAGGUCUGGGUAAUCUUUGAAAGGUAGUCGUGAUGGGGAUAGAUCCUUGCAAUUUUUGAUCUUCAACGAGGAAUUCCUAGUAAACGCAAGUCAUCAGCUUGCAUUGAUUACGUCCCUGCCCUUUGUACACACCGCCCGUCGCACCUACCGAUUGAAUGGUCCGGUGAAAUCUCGGGACGGCGGCUUGGUCGCUUGCGUCCGACUGCUGAAACUUGAUUAAACCAUNUNAUUUAUNGGAAGGUGAANUCGUANCA
RNAcentral lists this ribosomal RNA (320 nucleotides) under uncultured eukaryote. RNAcentral's name for it is "partial 18S ribosomal RNA". It matches the Rfam family "Eukaryotic small subunit ribosomal RNA", at positions 1470 to 1796 of the family's 1831-position model. The record is from RNAcentral.